AAACAAAAAUGGUAAAUUAUCAUUUGACAAUUUGAGAAGAUGAGAUUAGAGAGUGGUAUGGGUUUUCUCUUGGCUAUUCUUUAUGCAAUUACGCUCAUUCGUAUGGUAACAGUCGAAGCGCAACGAGAAUGCGUAGUGUCCAUUUCACUGCCACCACCGCCACCACGGGCUACCGCAAGUUGGGGCGGCAGCUGGAGUUGUUGGGGUGACCGCCUAUGCGACAAGAAAAGAGUGCGAAGACCGGUAUUACCACCACGUGCUAUCCGCGAGAAGGGACGUUAAAAAUUAAGAUAAUAAAGUCAUGAUAAUGGUGAUGGUGUGUGGGUUACAACUUACAUGCGCAAGAGAAUCCGUCCUCCUAAUAAUAUGUACUCUUUAUCUCGAAAUUAAUAUAUAUGGUCUUCGAGUAUAAAUACGUGUUAGGUUUGUUCAUCUUCAGUUUUAGAUAAUAAAAAAAUAAAAACCCAAUUAUAUCGUCUA
Molecule: long non-coding RNA, 480 nt
Organism: Lactuca sativa (garden lettuce)
Lineage: Eukaryota; Viridiplantae; Streptophyta; Magnoliopsida; Asterales; Asteraceae
Source: RefSeq, a predicted model, not a curated record